Molecule: long non-coding RNA, 382 nt
Filed under: Sorghum bicolor (sorghum)
Lineage: Eukaryota; Viridiplantae; Streptophyta; Magnoliopsida; Poales; Poaceae
Description: long non-coding RNA (SBIC_LNC012111)
Source: RNAcentral
CACCCGCGCCCGCGCCCGCGGCACCACCGGCGGCACCUCCACCCGCGCUGCCACCCUUGUGCCCGGUGGUAAUCCUCCCGUGAUGCUUCAACUCCACCGUGCUCACCACCUGAUGCCCAGGCCCAAGCUUCCGGCUGGGACUCUGGAAUUCCAGGUGGUCUUUCAUAUCGCCUUCAGUUCGUGAACAAAUUGCCCAACCAGUUUCUUAAUCAGAGACGUGUUAUUCUCCAGGCUAGAGGAUAAUUUGCCCAAUCAUGCAUGGCAAUGAUUCAGGCAGGCACCAAUUAAGAGGGGAAAACAGUGAGAGCAAAACUGACCAUGCAAUUGUUCUUGCACCUGGAGAUGAGGCCUGAGCCGAUGCCGCUUCGUGGAGACUCCAGCG